GGGCGAUUAGCUCAGUUGGAUAGAGCGCAGGCCUCCGAAGCCUGAGGUCGAGGGUUCGAAUCCCCCAUCGCCCACCA
RNAcentral lists this transfer RNA (77 nucleotides) under bacterium. RNAcentral describes it as "tRNA-Arg". It matches the Rfam family "tRNA". Rfam says of the family: Transfer RNA (tRNA) molecules are approximately 80 nucleotides in length. Their secondary structure includes four short double-helical elements and three loops (D, anti-codon, and T loops). RNAcentral also lists the same sequence under 2 other names. The record is from RNAcentral.